UGGAAGUUGAUGGGGCCCGGUGGUCCCCACGGUCUUCAAAACCGUCGUCAGCUUAUCGGCUGAGGCAGGUUCGACUCCUGCCGCUUCCGCC
RNAcentral lists this transfer RNA (91 nucleotides) under Yokenella regensburgei. RNAcentral describes it as "tRNA-seC(tca)". It matches the Rfam family "Selenocysteine transfer RNA". Lineage: Bacteria; Pseudomonadati; Pseudomonadota; Gammaproteobacteria; Enterobacterales; Enterobacteriaceae. The record is from RNAcentral.